This 292-nucleotide ribosomal RNA is filed under the name uncultured bacterium. RNAcentral's name for it is "partial 16S ribosomal RNA". The record is from RNAcentral.
GGACUACUGGGGUAUCUAAUCCUGUUUGCUCCCCACGCUUUCGUGCCUGAGCGUCAGUAUCAUCCCAGGGGGCUGCCUUCGCCAUCGGUGUUCCUCCACAUCUCUACGCAUUUCACUGCUACACGUGGAAUUCCACCCCCCUCUGACGUACUCUAGUCUGCCAGUAACAAGCGCAAUUCCCAGGUUAAGCCCGGGGAUUUCACACCUGUCUUAACAAACCGCCUACGCACGCUUUACGCCCAGUAAUUCCGAUUAACGCUCGCACCCUACGUAUUACCGCGGCUGCUGGCAC